Molecule: long non-coding RNA, 489 nt
Organism: Humulus lupulus (European hop)
Lineage: Eukaryota; Viridiplantae; Streptophyta; Magnoliopsida; Rosales; Cannabaceae
Exons: 3
Source: RefSeq, a predicted model, not a curated record
CUCUCUCUCUCUCUCCCCCCUUUCCCCGCCCACUCUCUCUCAUCGGUGAUCUUUUUCUCACUUCACGACAAUAUCUCCUCCAAUUCUCUGUCCUUUCUCUCGCGACUCUGGCUCCGAUGAAGCUCUUCUCUCCUAUGCCGCAUAAGAUUUUCUCUCUCUUUGGAUUUGUGAGCCGUAUGAGAGACACUGAGCUUCAUAGUCAACUGAGCUAUCCUGCUACUACCUACUUUUCUUUCUGAUAGAAGGAAUCAAAUGGAAGGUCAUGAUACACUUUUAAGGCUCAACAAUAGGAUUUCAAAGCAAAUGGAAAUAACAAAUCAUCAUAAUAUCUUUAGAUCUCGUUGUUCACUUUUUAAGUGAAACAUUAAAAAAAUUUCAAAUUUUAGCUAAACAUUUUAGCGAGAAGUUUACCAUGAUGACUUUGAUUCUCUAAAUUUACUUUUUGAAAGUUUUUCACUUAUUAAGUGAAACAUGUAUUUGGACUACCGA